GAGAGGGUUACUUGCCAGAGAGGCAAGAUGCGCCUCAAACUCAGAGUUCCUGACUUCUAUACCAGGACUCUUUCUUUCUUUCUUUCUUUCUUUCUUUCUUUCUUUCUUUCUUUCUUUCUUUCUUUCUUUCUUUCUUUCUUUCUUUCUUUCUUUCUUUCUUUCUUUCUUUCUUUCUUUCUUUCUUUCUUUCUUUCUUUCUUUCUUUCUUUCUUUCUUUCUUUCUUUCUCUCUUUCUCUCUUUCUCUCUUUCUCUCUUUCUCUCUUUCUUUCUUCCUUCCUUCCUUCCUUCCUUCCUUCCUCCCUUCCUCCCUUUCUUUCUUUCUUCCUCCCUUUCUUUCUUCCUUCCUUCCUUCCUUUCUUCCUUUCUUUCUUUCUUUCUUUCUUUCUUUCUUUCUUUCUUUCUUUCUUUCUUUCUUUCUUUCUUUCUUUCUUUCUUUCUUUCUUUCUUUCUUUCUUUCUUUCUUUCUUUCUUUCUUUCUUUCUUUCUUUCUUUCUUUCUUUCUUUCUUUCUCUCUUUCUUUCUUUCUCUCUUUCUUUCUUUCUUCUUUCUUUCUUUCUGUCUGUCUGUCUGUCUGUCUGUCUGUCUGUCUGUCUCCGUCUCCGUCUCCGUCUCCGUUUCUCGGACUCGAAAGCUCCCUGUCUCUUUCUCUUAUCUCUCUCCAUCUCCUCUCUGUGCGCUGGAGACCUAGUAACCCCGGUGCGCGGAUGCCAGGACUGAAGAUCACCGCCGCCGCCGCCACCCCUCCUGGACGCACACUCUCGGUAGACUGGAGGACGGGGGAGGGGGAGGAGAUGCUGUGGACGACGGGGCCACAAUGAGUCUCUGCGGAACCCCUCUACUAGUAUGUGGGGUGGGCAUCAGCGGCUUUGGGGAGAGGAGCAGGAGAGCGAACGUCGGGGUGGUGAGGAACCUCCGAGACUGCAGCCUAGCCGCCUUGUUUAGAGCGCAAGCGAGGGAACCAGCCCGAAGAGCCUAGCCCAGUGCCUGGGAUCACCGCUGAGCCAGCGGUAGUUUGGACUUAGACCGCAGGAUUCCGGACUCCCCCGCCAGCGUGCCGCCUCGAGCUCGGUACUCGAGUCGUGGGCUAGAAGCUAUCCGAAGAUUAAGCUCUCUUUGAAGAAAAUGACCGAAAGUGGCGGCUCGCGCUGGAUCCUUAUCCCCACCCCCAGGUAAGGCGGCGGAUUCCUGUGCCAUUUGGGGCUGGGGCUGGAGCCAGCGCUGAAUUCUCUGGGCCUCGGUUUGCCUGUAGGACUGUCUCUGCCUGCCUGCCUUGCAGUUGGCCUGGUUCGUCACGGUUUGGCCAUUAGCUCCGUGUAUUUGACCGUAACUCCGGAGGAAUGGGUGGAUGAGAACAAUUUCUUCCAUGGAGCGCUCACAGCUUGGUCAGACAGCAAAGACCCCAAGGUCGGCCGGCGCACCCCGGCCAGCGCCAGCCUCCUGACUUUUGUCUUGUUCCUGCACUUGGAUGCUUGGAAGAGAGAGUCAGGGUGGCGACUCUGUGACCCUCCGCCUGCCUCGCUUACAUCCAAUUCCUGCCCCCCGGCGCCCCCCCCCCCCCCGCGGGCCCCGGGGAACCUUAGGUGCGAAGGAGCACUCUUGGAUGGAAAUUAUUCUCUUCCCAAAAGGUGGCAACCAAGGCUGUAAGUGAGUGAGUUGGGUGUCUGGGUGCCUCUGAGAAUUGUGGAGCGGAACUGUGCCUGGGCGAGUGUGUGGACGUGAGUCCUGUCCAAUGGGGCAUUUGUGUGCCCGUGGGAGUGUGUGGCUAUGUGUGGUGUGGAGGGGAACCGUAUGUGCAAUCUGGUGAUGCUUGUGGGGAGUGUGAUGGUGAUUGUGUGAAUUGGGUGAUUGGGUGAGCUCUAGUACAGGCUAUCGUUUUUGUGUACUGUCCAAAGAGCAAAGGCCCUGAACCUCUGUGUGUGUCCCCAUAGAUCCCCCACCCCAUUUUCCUUCCCUGGGUGGCCAAUAGCUGAAGCCAAGACCUGGGGUCUGUUCCCAAAGCCCUCCACCUCCUGCCCCCUCCCCUCAUCUUUUCCCCAUCCAUCUGCCACCUGGGACAGAGCCAGUCCUAGGAGAGAAGUAGCUGCUGCCAAUUGUCCAGCGACCACUGAAGGAUCUUGUCUGUGCACUCCCCUCCAGUGGGGAGGCCAAUAGAAGGCGCUGAGCUGGGAGGACAUGCAGACUGACCACCAGGCUUCCUCCCUCCUAGCCCCUUGGCCAGACCCAUCUCCACCUCACCAACCCAACAGUCAGCUCCAAGAGGAAGUUGCCUUCAACUUGUGGGGUGAGAGAAGGAAGGGAUGCUGGCAGGACUGUGGGGAGGGUGGGCUGUGAGGGGCAGGAAGAGGGGUCAGUGCAACGAAGGGGGCCUGCUGUCCUGAGCUGGUUUUGAUCUUUGGUUUCCUAGCUGUGUGAGUGUCUCUGAAUCAUAAAGCUGGAGAACCGAAUGUGGAAACCAGCUGCUCCUCCACAGCCUGGCUGACUCUGAGAAUCAGUGUGUGAACGUGUGUGCACGUGUCUUUGUGCAGGAUUCGAUUUGGGGCAAUGUUGAAUCUAAGAGUACUUUAUUCUGGGUACUUGUGUUUGUGCCUCCACAAAUAUAUAUCUGUGUGUGUGUGUGUAUAUAUAUAUAUAUAUUUCUCUGUGUGUGUUGGUGUAUCUAUGUGGUUGGGGAUUGGGAGGAGACAUUAAAAUGUGUUUGGUUUGGGGGGCUUUGGGAGGUGGGUUCAAGUCCUUGUGUAGGUAUAUUUGGGGGGUGAGGGUGGGGAAGGGUGUUUUUCUGGGUGUGAUAGUGUCUCUGUGAGUAUUUCAGGGUGUGUGUAGGUUUGUGUCUAGGAUUAGGAUCCAGGAGUCCUAGUUCCCCACAGAGAUUAUGGAGGAGGAAGAGAGGCUGGGCAUUGGCACCACUAUGGGCACUCUCAGAAAUACACAUGUUUAAUGUAAGAGCUUGCCUUUCUACAGCCCUUUAGGGUUAAGGGGCAGCUAGGUGGCAAAGCGGAUAGAGUACUGGGCCUGGAGUUAGGAAGACUCAUUUUCCUGAGUUAAAACCCAUCCUGAGUGUUCUACAUCUCUUAUAAUCAGAGAGAUGCAAAUCAAAACAACUCUGAGGUAUCACCUCACACCUAGCAGAUUGGCUAACAUAACAGCAAAGGAAAGUAAUGAAUGCUGGAGGGGAUGUGGCAAAGUAGGGACAUUAAUUCAUUGCUGGUGGAGCUGUGAACUGAUCCAACCAUUCUGGAGGGCAAUUUGGAACUAUGCCCAAAGGGCGACAAAAGAAUAUCUACCCUUUGACCCAGCCAUAGCACUGCUGGGUCUGUACCCCAAAGAGAUAAUGGACACAAAGACUUGUACAAAAAUAUUCAUAGCUGCGCUCUUUGUGGUGGCCCAAAACUGGAAAACGAGGGGAUGCCCAUCAAUUGGGGAAUGGCUGAACAAACUGUGGUAUAUGUUGGUGAUGGAAUACUAUUGUGCUCAAAGGAAUAAUAAAGUGGAGAAGUUCCAUGGAGACUGGAACA
Molecule: long non-coding RNA, 3513 nt
Filed under: Monodelphis domestica (gray short-tailed opossum)
Lineage: Eukaryota; Metazoa; Chordata; Mammalia; Didelphimorphia; Didelphidae
Description: lncRNA (ENSMODG00000036624.1)
Rfam family: mir-9/mir-79 microRNA precursor family (bases 2390-2448)
Source: RNAcentral